UACGUAGGUGGCAAGCGUUGUCCGGAUUUACUGGGUGUAAAGGGCGUGCAGCCGGGCUGACAAGUCAGAUGUGAAAUCCCGCGGCUCAACCGCGGAACUGCAUUUGAAACUGUCAGUCUUGAGUACCGGAGAGGUCAUCGGAAUUCCUUGUGUAGCGGUGAAACGCGUAGAUAUAAGGAAGAACACCAGUGGCGAAGGCGGAUGACUGGACGGCAACUGACGGUGAGGCGCGAAAGCGUGGGGAGCAAACAGG
RNAcentral lists this ribosomal RNA (253 nucleotides) under uncultured bacterium. RNAcentral's name for it is "partial 16S ribosomal RNA". It matches the Rfam family "Bacterial small subunit ribosomal RNA", at positions 524 to 776 of the family's 1533-position model. The record is from RNAcentral.